This 439-nucleotide ribosomal RNA is filed under the name uncultured bacterium. RNAcentral's name for it is "partial 16S ribosomal RNA". It matches the Rfam family "Bacterial small subunit ribosomal RNA", at positions 339 to 795 of the family's 1533-position model. The record is from RNAcentral.
CUACGGGGGGCACCAGUGAGGAAUAUUGCACAAUGGGGGGAACCCUGAUGCAGCAACGCCGCGUGGAGGAUGACGCAUUUCGGUGUGUAAACUCCUUUUAUAUGUCAAGAAAAUGACGGUAGCAUAUGAAUAAGCACCGGCUAACUCCGUGCCAGCAGCCGCGGUAAUACGGAGGGUGCAAGCGUUACUCGGAAUCACUGGGCGUAAAGGACGCGUAGGCGGGUGGGAAAGUCAGGUGUGAAAUCCUACAGCUUAACUGUAGAACUGCACUUGAAACUUCUAAUCUAGAGUAUGGGAGGGGGAGAUGGAAUUAGUGGUGUAGGGGUAAAAUCCGUAGAUAUCACUAGGAAUACCUAAAGCGAAGGCGAUCUCCUGGAACAUUACUGACGCUAAGGCGUGAAAGCGUGGGGAGCAGACAGGAUUAGAUACCCCGGUAGUC